GAGUUGAAUCCUGGGUUCCAGGAGGAACCGCUGGCGGCCAUGCUUUACCACAUGCAAAUUCGAGCGAAUGCAAUUUCCUUUGGGAUCGGAUUUAGCGGCGGACGGGUGAGUAACACGUGGGCAACUUGCCUCAUAGAGGCGAAUAGCUUUCCUAAAGAGAGAUUGAUUCCGCAUAAGAUAGUAGUACCGCAUGCUACAGCAAUAAAAGGAGUAAUCCGCUAUGAGAUGAGCCCGUGGCGCAUGAUCUAGUUGGUGAGGUAACGGCUCACCAAGGCGACGAUGAGUAGCCGACGUCAGAGGAUGAUCGUCCACAUCGGGACUGAGACACGGCCCAGACUCCUCCGGGAGGCAGCAGCGGGGAAUAUUGCACAACGGGGGAAACCAUUAUGCAGCAACGCCGCGUGAGUGAUGACGACGUUCGUGUUGUAAAGCUCUGUCUUCAGGGACGAUAAUGACGGUACGUGAGGAGGAAGCCACGCCUAACUACGUGCCAGCAGCCGCGGUAAUACGUAGGUGGCGAGCGUUGUCCGUCAUUUACUGGGCGUAAAGGGAGCGUAGGCGGAUUUUUAAGUGAGAUGUGAAAUACUCGGGCUUAACCUGAGUGCUGCAUUUCAAACUGGAAGUCUAGAGUGCAGGAGAGGAGAAGGGAAUUCUUAGUGUAGCGGUGAAAUGAGUAGAGAUUAGGAAGAACACCAGCGGUGAAGGCGCUUAUCUGGACUCGUAACUGACGAUGAGGCUGGAAAGCGUGGGGAGCAACCACGAUUAGAUACCCUGGUAGUCCUCCGCCGUAAUACGAUGAAUACUAGGUGUAGGGGUUGUCAUGACCUCUGUGCCG
Molecule: ribosomal RNA, 835 nt
Filed under: uncultured bacterium
Lineage: Bacteria
Description: bacterial SSU rRNA
Rfam family: Bacterial small subunit ribosomal RNA
Source: RNAcentral